ACUUAUCGCCUAAAGGCAGCAUGGCGAACAUGCUCCAAGACACACUCUCCCUUAUAUUACAAUAAAUGCAUUGUACCAUAACUUUCUGAGCAAGCUAUAAUCCUGAAAGUUGAUUUAUAAAAACAGUAUUUAUGAUUUAAUAUUUACAAAAUUUGAAACGCUAUUUAAAAACCUACAAAUGUUUUUCUAAUUAUAUUUCAUUGUCGCUCCUGUAGAUAAAUACGUGCAUUGUAAUUUUGGCUGUUUAAAAUAAGUACCCACUUUAUAAUCAUUAAUGUAGAUUGAUUUAUUAUUAAAGAAAAAAAAUCACCGAGGUUUAUUUAGGCCUAUUUAUUGCGUUUUGCGUAUUUCACAAAUUGUUUACACUUUAUUUGUGGAGAGCCGUGUUGGUGGCUUUUACUUUGUUGAAAAAGCUUAUAGAGCCUAAAAUAAGAUGGUACUCUAAUGUUUAAUUAGGUCUAUUGAUUUAUUAAGAGUUGUUAAUGUUUGUAAAGAAAUGUUUGAAUGUAGUAACCAAUGUGGUCAAUAUAUUUUUUUUUUGCUCUUGAUACACUUAGAUUAUGAUAUUUUAAAGUAUCUUGGUAGAGUAGCCGUUUAUACAAUACAAUUUAUAUAUACACAAGAAU
This is a non-coding RNA of Biomphalaria pfeifferi, 626 nucleotides long. Lineage: Eukaryota; Metazoa; Mollusca; Gastropoda; Planorbidae. The record is from the annotation of a GenBank genome assembly.